Molecule: microRNA, 21 nt
Filed under: Populus trichocarpa (black cottonwood)
Lineage: Eukaryota; Viridiplantae; Streptophyta; Magnoliopsida; Malpighiales; Salicaceae
Description: ptc-miR6474
Source: miRBase by way of RNAcentral
UGUUCAGAUCAGUAGAUAGCA